This 152-nucleotide ribosomal RNA is filed under the name uncultured fungus. RNAcentral describes it as "partial 5.8S ribosomal RNA". It matches the Rfam family "5.8S ribosomal RNA". Rfam says of the family: 5.8S ribosomal RNA (5.8S rRNA) is a component of the large subunit of the eukaryotic ribosome. It is transcribed by RNA polymerase I as part of the 45S precursor that also contains 18S and 28S rRNA. Functionally, it is thought that 5.8S rRNA may be involved in ribosome translocation. Lineage: Eukaryota; Fungi. The record is from RNAcentral.
CACUUUCAACAACGGAUCUCUUGGCUCUCGCAUCGAUGAAGAACGCAGCGAAUGCGAUAAGUAAUGUGAAUGCAGAAUUCAGUGAAUCAUCGAAUCUUUGAACGCACCUUGCGCCUCUUGGUAUUCCGAGAGGCAUGCCUGUUCGAGUGUCA